UAGCGAAGAGGUCACACCCGUUCCCAUACCGAACACGGAAGUUAAGCUCUUCAGCGCCGAUGGUAGUCGGGGGUUUCCCCCUGUGAGAGUAGGACGCCGCCAAGC
Molecule: ribosomal RNA, 105 nt
Filed under: Bacillus subtilis
Lineage: Bacteria; Bacillati; Bacillota; Bacilli; Caryophanales; Bacillaceae
Also listed under: 2 other names
Source: RNAcentral